GAUGAAGAACGCAGCGAAAUGCGAUAAGUAAUGCGAAUUGCAGAAUUCAGUGAGUCAUCGAAUCUUUGAACGCACAUUGCGCCCUGUGGUAUUCCGCAGGGCAUGCCUGUUCGAGCGUCAUUUCAACCCUCAAGCCUCGCUUGGUGUUGGGCCCUGCCCGCCGCGGCCGGCCCUAAAGAUAGUGGCGGCGCCGCCUGGCCCUCAGCGUAGUACAGCUCUCGCUCCAGGGUCCGGCGGCAGCCUGCCAGAACCCCCCAACUCUGUGGUUGACCUCGGAGCAGGUAGGGAUACCCGCUGAACUUAAGCAUAUCAAUAAGCGGAGGA
This 324-nucleotide unclassified non-coding RNA is filed under the name soil metagenome. RNAcentral's name for it is "partial contains 5.8S ribosomal RNA, internal transcribed spacer 2, and large subunit ribosomal RNA". The stretch from base 1 to 120 matches the Rfam family "5.8S ribosomal RNA", at positions 35 to 154 of the family's 154-position model. The record is from RNAcentral.